RNAcentral lists this ribosomal RNA (253 nucleotides) under uncultured bacterium. RNAcentral describes it as "partial 16S ribosomal RNA". It matches the Rfam family "Bacterial small subunit ribosomal RNA", at positions 524 to 776 of the family's 1533-position model. The record is from RNAcentral.
GACGUAGGAUGCGAGCGUUGUCCGGAUUUAUUGGGCGUAAAGAGUUCGUAGGUGGUUUGUUAAGUCUGAUGUUAAAGAUUGGGGCUCAACCCUGAAACUGCAUUGGAUACUGGCAGACUUGAGUGUGGUAGAGGCUGGUGGAAUUCCCAGUGUAGCGGUGAAAUGCGUAGAUAUUGGGAAGAACACCGGUGGCGUAGGCGACUAGCUGGGCCAUAACUGACACUGAGGAACGAAAGCCAGGGUAGCGAAUGGG